RNAcentral lists this ribosomal RNA (366 nucleotides) under Triticum aestivum (bread wheat). RNAcentral's name for it is "partial small subunit ribosomal RNA". The record is from RNAcentral. Lineage: Eukaryota; Viridiplantae; Streptophyta; Magnoliopsida; Poales; Poaceae.
AUGAACCCUACCUCGGCCCCGGGUCCUGACGGCCUCCGGGUUAAAUUCUUCCAGACCUUCUGGAAUGUGAUUAAACCUGAGAUCAUGACCAUCUUCGACGAGUUCUACGUUGGGUCCAUAGACCUUGGUCGCCUCAACUAUGGGAUCAUUUCGCUCAUCCCUAAAGUGCCUGGGGCCUCCGACAUCCGCCAGUUCCGGCCAAUCACGGUGAUCAAUGUGAUUUUCUGGAUUCUGGCAAAGGGGUACGCCAAUAGGGUGACCCUGCUUGCAGACCGCAUUACCCACCCCAACCAGUUCGUCUUCAUUCAAGGGCGGUAUAUCCUGGAUGGGGUGCUAGUCCUUCAUGAAGUUCUCCAUGAGGUUUAG